GUUUCCGUAGUGUAGAGGUUAUCACGUUUGCCUUACAUCGCGAAAGGUCCCCAGUUCAAAACUGGGCGGAGACA
Non-coding RNA from Cyprinus carpio (common carp), 74 nucleotides. The record is from the annotation of a RefSeq genome assembly. NCBI's taxonomy places the organism in Eukaryota, Metazoa, Chordata, Actinopteri, Cypriniformes, Cyprinidae.